This 319-nucleotide long non-coding RNA is filed under the name Carica papaya (papaya). Its description in RNAcentral is "long non-coding RNA (CPAP_LNC013261)". Lineage: Eukaryota; Viridiplantae; Streptophyta; Magnoliopsida; Brassicales; Caricaceae. The record is from RNAcentral.
UGGGGAGGGCACUGGGUUCAUGUGAUACACAAGACCCUGGGCUACAGGUCUGGCCACGUCCUUUGACCGUUAAGGGCAGUCCUUAAUAAGGUGUUGGGUGAUUCUGCACCAAUAGCAAGCGUGAUUAAUACGCCGGCAGGGUAGAUCACCAUGCGAGCGACCGUAAUGCUGGCAUAGUUGGGAAAGUCGGGCAGGUUGUCUAAUAGGUGGAAGUUAUAUAUAUAUAUGUGUGUGUAAUUGAAACUCAUAUAUUUUGGUAAUGGAUUAUAAUAAUUUUCUCUACUGGAUAUAAUUAUUUAUCAUGCAUUCGUAAUAUGUU